UGGGGAAUUUUGGACAAUGGGCGCAAGCCUGAUCCAGCCAUGCCGCGUGCGGGAAGAAGGCCUUCGGGUUGUAAACCGCUUUGUCAGGGAAGAAAUCUUCUGAGUUAAUACCUCGGGAGGAUGACGGUACCUGAAGAAUAAGCACCGGCUAACUACGUGCCAGCAGCCGCGGUAAUACGUAGGGUGCAAGCGUUAAUCGGAAUUACUGGGCGUAAAGCGUGCGCAGGCGGUUUUGUAAGACAGAGGUGAAAUCCCCGGGCUCAACCUGGGAACUGCCUUUGUGACUGCAAGGCUUGAGUGCGGCAGAGGGGGAUGGAAUUCCGCGUGUAGCAGUGAAAUGCGUAGAUAUGCGGAGGAACACCGAUGGCGAAGGCAAUCCCCUGGGCCUGCACUGACGCUCAUGCACGAAAGCGUGGGGAGCAAACAGGAUUAGAUACCCUGGUAGUCCACGCCCUAAACGAUGUCAACUGGUUGUUGGGAAGGUUCCUUCUCAGUAACGUAGCUAACGCGUGAAGUUGACCGCCUGGGGAGUACGGCCGCAA
Molecule: ribosomal RNA, 542 nt
Filed under: uncultured bacterium
Lineage: Bacteria
Description: partial 16S ribosomal RNA
Rfam family: Bacterial small subunit ribosomal RNA
Source: RNAcentral